This 483-nucleotide ribosomal RNA is filed under the name uncultured bacterium. RNAcentral describes it as "partial 16S ribosomal RNA". It matches the Rfam family "Bacterial small subunit ribosomal RNA", at positions 30 to 506 of the family's 1533-position model. The record is from RNAcentral.
AUUGAACGCUGGCGGCAGGCCUAACACAUGCAAGUCGAGCGGAUGAAGGGAGCUUGCUCCUGGAUUCAGCGGCGGACGGGUGAGUAAUGCCUAGGAAUCUGCCUGGUAGUGGGGGAUAACGUCCGGAAACGGGCGCUAAUACCGCAUACGUCCUGAGGGAGAAAGUGGGGGAUCUUCGGACCUCACGCUAUCAGAUGAGCCUAGGUCGGAUUAGCUAGUUGGUGGGGUAAAGGCCUACCAAGGCGACGAUUCGUAACUGGUCUGAGAGGAUGAUCAGUCACACUGGAACUGAGACACGGUCCAGACUCCUACGGGAGGCAGCAGUGGGGAAUAUUGGACAAUGGGCGAAAGCCUGAUCCAGCCAUGCCGCGUGUGUGAAGAAGGUCUUCGGAUUGUAAAGCACUUUAAGUUGGGAGGAAGGGCAGUAAGUUAAUACCUUGCUGUUUUGACGUUACCAACAGAAUAAGCACCGGCUAACUUCGU